This 250-nucleotide ribosomal RNA is filed under the name uncultured bacterium. RNAcentral describes it as "partial 16S ribosomal RNA". It matches the Rfam family "Bacterial small subunit ribosomal RNA", at positions 524 to 773 of the family's 1533-position model. The record is from RNAcentral.
UACGAAGGGUCUAAGCGUUGUUCGGAUUUAUUGGGCGUAAAGCGCGCGCAGGUGGGUUAGCAAGUCAGAUGUGAAAUCUCGGGGCUCAACCCCGAAACUGCGUCUGAAACUGCUAGUCUAGAGUGUUGGAGGGGGUAGGGGAAUUUCACGUGUAGGGGUAAAAUCCGUAGAGAUGUGAAGGAACACCGGAGGCGAAGGCGCCUACCUGGACAACUACUGACACUGAGGCGCGAAAGCGUGGGGAGCAAAC